GACGAACCUUGCAAACGUUAUUCGGAAUCACUGGGCUUAAAGGGUGCGUAGGCUGUGCAGAAAGUUGGGUGUGAAAUACCUCGGCUUAACCGAGGAAUUGCGCCCAAAACUACUGUGCUCGAGGAAGAUAGAGGUGAGCGGAACUUAGGGUGGAGCGGUGAAAUGCGUUGAUAUCCUAAGGAACACCGGUGGCGAAAGCGGCUCACUGGAUCUUUUCUGACGCUGAGGCACGAAAGCUAGGGUAGCAAACGG
RNAcentral lists this ribosomal RNA (252 nucleotides) under uncultured bacterium. RNAcentral describes it as "partial 16S ribosomal RNA". It matches the Rfam family "Bacterial small subunit ribosomal RNA", at positions 524 to 775 of the family's 1533-position model. The record is from RNAcentral.